This 290-nucleotide long non-coding RNA is filed under the name Panax ginseng (ginseng). RNAcentral describes it as "long non-coding RNA (PGIN_LNC004741)". Lineage: Eukaryota; Viridiplantae; Streptophyta; Magnoliopsida; Apiales; Araliaceae. The record is from RNAcentral.
AAGAAUAUUAUUCAGAACGACGCAAAAGGGGGUGCCAUUCCAAGUACACAAAUAGCAUGUGAAUCCAAAAAGAAAAACAACCUGCAAAGCAAAUAAACCCGAAAUUCCUAUACAUCCGAAUUUACCCCUCUAAUCUCAAGGAGUCUGGAGUCCUCAAACUAAACUCUCCCAAAAAGUCAGUAAAGGAAACAACAUAAUUUGGAUAAGUGAGACUCCAGAGGGCAUCUGCCUCGAUAACAAUUGCUACCAAAUAAUUUAUGCAUAUUUUUGCUUUAUCAACAAAGUUUUUC